Molecule: ribosomal RNA, 528 nt
Filed under: Schwenckfeldina nr. custodiata SS-2012
Lineage: Eukaryota; Metazoa; Arthropoda; Insecta; Diptera; Sciaridae
Description: partial 16S ribosomal RNA
Source: RNAcentral
GUYUUUUUGAAUUUUAUUUAAAGUYUAACCUGCCCAUUGAAAAUUUUAAAAGGCUGCAGUAUAUUGACUGUACAAAGGUAGCAUAAUCAUUAGUUUUUUAAUUGAGAACUUGUAUGAAUGGUUGGAUGAGAAAAUUUCUGUUUUAAUUUAAAUAAUAGAAUUUCACUUUUUUAUUAGAAGGUAAAAAUAAAUUUAAUAGACGAGAAGACCCUAUAGAGUUUUAUUUAUUAUAUAAAUUUUAUAAAUUAGAAAGUUAUUUAUUAUAAAAAUAUUUAUUUUUUUUUAUUUUUAUAGUAAAUUUUAUUGGGGUGAUAACAAAAUUUAAUUAACUUUUGUUUAUUUCUACGUUGAUAAACGACUUAUUGAUCCAUUAUUAGUGAUUACAAAAUUAAAUUACCUUAGGGAUAACAGCGUAAUUUUUUUUUUAAGUUCAUAUUUAUAGAAAAUUUUGCGACCUCGAUGUUGGAUUAAGGAUAAUUUUUGGUGUAGCUGCUUUAAUAUUUAAGUCUGUUCGACUUUUAAAUUCUU